AGAGUUUGAUCCUGGCUCAGAGUGAACGCUGGCGGCAGGCCUAAUACAUGCAAGUCGAACGGCAGCACAGCAGAUCUUGCUCUGUGGGUGGCGAGCGGCGGACGGUCGAGGAAUACGUGCGAAUCUGCCCAGGCAUGCGGGAUCACGUACGGAAAGAUAACCUCAUACCGCAUGUUCCCUUCGGAGGAAUGCCCGGGACCUUCAGGCCUGUGCUGAUUGGAUGAAGCCUCAUCGGAUUAACUAUUUGGCGGGGUAACGGCACACCGAGGCGACGAUCCGUACCUGAUCCGAGACGAUGACCCCCCCCGCCGGAACUGAGGCACCCUCGCGACUCCCGCCGGAGGCCGCCCUAUGGAAUAGUGGAGAGUGGGAGGAAACCCCAUACCG
RNAcentral lists this ribosomal RNA (387 nucleotides) under uncultured bacterium. RNAcentral's name for it is "bacterial SSU rRNA". It matches the Rfam family "Bacterial small subunit ribosomal RNA", at positions 8 to 391 of the family's 1533-position model. The record is from RNAcentral.